AGAGGUAAGAGGUACUACAGGGGUAGGAGUGAAAUCUUGUAAAUCCCUGUGGGACCACCUGUGGCGAAGGCGUCUUACCAGAACGGGUUCGACGGUGAGGGACGAAAGCUGGGGGCACGAACCGGAUUAGAUACCCGGGUAGUCCCAGCCGUAAACGAUGCUCGCUAGGUGUCAGGCAUGGCGCGACCGUGUCUGGUGCCGCAGGGAAGCCGUGAAGCGAGCCACCUGGGAAGUACGGCCGCAAGGCUGAAACUUAAAGGAAUUGGCGGGGGAGCACAACAACGGGUGGAGGCCCUGCGGUUUAAUUGGACUCAACGCCGGACAACUCACCGGGGGCGACAGCAAUAUGUAGGCCAAGCUGAAGACUUUGCCUGAAUCGCUGAGUAGAGGUGCAUGG
Molecule: ribosomal RNA, 397 nt
Filed under: uncultured archaeon
Lineage: Archaea
Description: bacterial SSU rRNA
Rfam family: Archaeal small subunit ribosomal RNA
Source: RNAcentral